Molecule: ribosomal RNA, 267 nt
Filed under: uncultured bacterium
Lineage: Bacteria
Description: partial 16S ribosomal RNA
Rfam family: Bacterial small subunit ribosomal RNA
Source: RNAcentral
GUCCACGCCGUAAACGAUGAAUGCUAGGUGUCGCGGGUAUUGACCCCUGCGGUACCGUAGGUAACCCAUUAAGCAUUCCGCCUGGGGAGUACGGUCGCAAGACUAAAACUCAAAGGAAUUGACGGGGGCCCGCACAAGCGGUGGAGUAUGUGGUUCAAUUCGACGCAACGCGAAGAACCUUACCUGGGUUAGAACCCCCUCGAACUCUGCAGAAACGUAGAGGUGCCCUUCGGGGAGCGAGGUGUCCAGGUGCUGCAUGGCUGUCGU